UACGUAGGGUGCGAGCGUUGCCCGGAUUUAUUGGGCGUAAAGGGCGCGUAGGCGGCCACGCACGUCCGUUGUGAAAUCGCUCGGCUCAACUGGGCGGGGUCAGCGGAUACGGUGUGGCUAGAGCAAGCUAGGGGGCAAUGGAAUUCCCGGUGUAGUGGUGGAAUGCGUAGAUAUCGGGAGGAACACCAGUGGCGAAGGCGGUUGCCUGGAGCUUUGCUGACGCUGAUGCGCGAAAGCGUGGGGAGCGAACAGG
Molecule: ribosomal RNA, 253 nt
Filed under: uncultured bacterium
Lineage: Bacteria
Description: partial 16S ribosomal RNA
Rfam family: Bacterial small subunit ribosomal RNA
Source: RNAcentral